This 240-nucleotide ribosomal RNA is filed under the name uncultured Lactobacillus sp. Its description in RNAcentral is "partial 16S ribosomal RNA". It matches the Rfam family "Bacterial small subunit ribosomal RNA", at positions 122 to 354 of the family's 1533-position model. The record is from RNAcentral. Lineage: Bacteria; Bacillati; Bacillota; Bacilli; Lactobacillales; Lactobacillaceae.
UAACCUGCCCAAGAGAUCGGGAUAACACCUGGAAACAGAUGCUAAUACCGGAUAAUAACAGAUGAUGCCUAUCAACUGUUUAAAAGAUGGUUCUGCUAUCACUCUUGGAUGGACCUGCGGUGCAUUAGCUAGUUGGUAGGGUAACGGCCUACCAAGGCGACGAUGCAUAGCCGAGUUGAGAGGCUGAUCGGCCACAUUGGGACUGAGACACGGCCCAAACUCCUACGGGAGGCAGCAGAU